Long non-coding RNA from Panicum virgatum (switchgrass), 3023 nucleotides. RefSeq lists it as uncharacterized. The transcript is spliced from 11 exons. Lineage: Eukaryota; Viridiplantae; Streptophyta; Magnoliopsida; Poales; Poaceae. The record is from RefSeq and is a predicted model, not a curated record.
CCCCGACGUGGCACUUGCCUCCGACGCCACCGUAGUGCGCGACUGCGCGUGGAGGGAAGGGACCUCGCCGUGCUGGCUCCGCCCGCCAACAUCGCCGCGGCGACAAAUCUCCCACCACCCAACAGACGCGACGCGGCGGCAGUCCAAGCGGCAACAGCCACACCGGCACCGCACUGUAAGAAGGCGUCUCUUCCGCACAGUCCAAGUUUCCGCCUGGCUGGUAACAGCAAUUAGCUCAUUCACCGCAUCAAGCUCGGCUGGUUGUGUACAAAGGGACAUGCUCUUGUGAAGAAGUGCCUCACCUACACCGAGGAGCUCACAAUCAAAGAUAGCACCUUUGAUGGACUGAUGGGUUUCUCCCAGGCUACCUGCGCAUACAUUUGGUUCCUGGCAGCAUGUUUGAUUCUUAGAAAUCCAUGAGGCAGUCUCGAGGGGACCAAACCAGAUUGUCCUGAAUCUAGGAAGCGGCCGCGAUAUUGGGCACCAAUGCCUCGGACCAAUUCCAGGAUCAUCCAAACAAUGGAAUUUGAGGGCAGCAAAUACCAAAGCCAAAUCGAGGCUCCCAAUGUCUACUUCCAAACGGUACCUUAAGCAUUUGUCUAAUGAUCUACAUUGUCUAUGCCACAAAACACAGGUUGAGACUAGAAUGGUUACAAAACUUAGAUUGAGUGAUACUUUAGUUAUUAUCAUUAAAUAUGGGUGAAUGUGCAUAUGCUCAGGAACAAAUAAGUUUAUUAGUGUGGCUGUCCGCAAAAAUAUUUAGCUAGAUAGACAUUUAGGAGUUAGGACCGGACAAAUUUAUUCAUCUACCAUCUGUCAAGGAUGUCAUUGCCUACAUGAGCAUCUGCACUCCUUUUAUUGUCAUGCUAAAUUGUGUGGUUACUGUCUGGCUUGAAUCUAAUAUUCUCCUAUUACUGGUCACUAAAACAAUGAGUUGACUAUAGUGGCUUCAGAAGUUGUUAAUUUGAACUUGAAGUCUGAAUCGCCACACUACAAAACAAGUGGGUGUACAGAGAUUUCACUGACAAUGGCCACAUAUUUUUACAAACUAUUAUGUGGUUAAGGUUUGGAGCUGCUGCUCGAUAAGCUAGAACAAAACAUAAACUUCAGUAAGGUUGUGGCCCUCUGCCCAUCUUAGAGAGCCAGCAACAACAUGGAAGUAUCUAUUGGAAGAUGGGAAGCCAGAUUUAUUGUGUACAACCUACAGCUAUUUUGUUUCUUUGCCCAUGUUGAUUACUUGAGUAAGAGCCUAUGCUGCAUUAUCAUCUCUAUUUGUUCCUGCAUUGUCAACCCCCCCGCCCCCCGCCCUCCUCUUUGUUUGAUUGAAAUUGUACUACCUUGAUCAGCAAUUCAGCAUCCAUUUUAAUAUAGCAUUUGUUGUUUUCAAUCGGCCAGCAUCCUGAUCUCAUGACUACUACUUUUACACAAUGUUUCAUUUUCAACUGGCCAGAAUCUUGAUGUCUUCCUCUUUAUAUCAGUUCGUCUUUCUUUUUCUUGAUCAACCUGCAGUCUGCAGAAGCUGCAUACUUCAAUGCCUGUCCCUACAAUAGCACCAUGACAAAUCGUGCUAGCCACGUACUGUAUGGCCUAUGCAAAUAUUUCAACGUGGCCAAUUGAUGGUUGUGCCAUGGCGCCCUAUCAAUUUGAUCAAUCAGUGGUAGCAACUGUAUGCACUAAUGUACUACAUAAAUAUUUAGAUGCUCAGUUAUUUGACUUCAAAUUGACACUCAGUUGUUUUAUUUUAGCUUGAUGCUCAGUUUAACCAUAUUGUUUUACUGAGGAUUGGGUUGUCCAUUGCACAAUUUUAGCCAUCUACAUGAUGCCUGGAUCAUCCCAUAGAUUGCUCAAAUGCAGCAAGUUAUUGUGAAUGAUUAUUUUCUAAAUGAAGCUCCAUUACUACCUGAAGGGUCAAUUCCUGCAGUAGCAUUAUAUUACAUUUUUUGGAAGAUAUUCUAACAAAGUUUGUUGAUGAUGCACAAAAGUGGUGAAGUUUUGUGAACGUAUUUGGCCACGUCCUCCUAGAGUGCUGCUGGUGCUGGUCAGAAACGUGGACUAUGCCAUAUGAUGGAAACUCCAUUAUAUCUUUGUGCUCAGUGCAGAUAUGUUAUGCUGCUAUGGUUUUCCCAAAUAGAUGGAUCUACAACACCACAUUGCUGUAUUUUUGAAGCUCGUGCUAUAUCAGGCUCAUUGUAUUGGGUUCUCUGUGUCUCAUCUAAAGCAUGGGAGAAGUGGAGAACCUAGAGAAUUCUCUGCAUGAAGUUGGAUCGGAUAAUGUGAAUAAAAGAUGCUUGAUAUAUACAGGCUUCUAAAAUCCAGUACCUUCUACAAUAUAAAGAGAUGAUAUUUGUGGCAAGAUUCUGAAGAAAAGCGUUUCACCCAAGAGUUGAUAUCUGUCAGGCUAUUGCACUUGUUCAUGGAUAGAUUUUACUAAAGUGGGCGGUAUGAUGGAGGUGGUGCUCCUGCAGACGUGAGGAAACUGGACAGAGUACAUCAGCAAGAUAACCCAAAAUAUCUGAUGCAUACAUAGGAUGGUUCGGAGAUUCAGGGUGCCUUAUCUGAGAUAGUUGGCAGGCGUACUGUUCCUCAAGUUUUUGUCCAUGGAAGCAUCUGGGGGGCUCUGAGGAUACUGUUGAGGCUUACGAAAGUGGAAAGUUGGCCAAACUCUUGAACAUUGGAGUCAAGGGCGAUCUUUAAGAAACAUGUUAGCAUCACAGAAUAUGUAACUGAGUAUGAGUAUUGCAGCAUAAUUCAUAACAUCUGAACCUUGCUGAGUCUGGAGGACACCUGCAGGCCGAGGCAAGGUGGUCAGGGCUCUGGUUCGCUCGCAUCGCAUUGCCGCGGGCCCGCGGCUAUAGUAUCUUUCACAUUCAGCCUGCACCAUGACCGAUUUGCUUCCUUCUAAAUUUCUUAUUUCUAUUAAGAUGCAAACCAUCAAAUUAUCUCGCUAGAUUUCAAUUAAAUGAUUGUUUGUUUGUGUUUGCCCAGUUGGAUUAUGAUUUUGAAAUUAAAUGAUUUCAGUUAAA